AGCAGAGUGGCUCAGUGGAAGCGUGCUGGGCCCAUAACCCAGAGAUCCGAGGAUCAAAACCUCGCUCUGCUA
This 72-nucleotide transfer RNA is filed under the name Orbicella faveolata. Its description in RNAcentral is "tRNA-Met". It matches the Rfam family "tRNA". Rfam says of the family: Transfer RNA (tRNA) molecules are approximately 80 nucleotides in length. Their secondary structure includes four short double-helical elements and three loops (D, anti-codon, and T loops). Lineage: Eukaryota; Metazoa; Cnidaria; Anthozoa; Scleractinia; Merulinidae. The record is from RNAcentral.